CUUGCACUUGCUCCACACAUUUGUUCUUGUCAGUCACAGGCAAGGUAAGAUCUGAUGAUAUAUUGUUAAAAAGCUGGUUAGAAGUUGUGGUGUUUCAUUGAUGUUUGACACUCUUUGAAGAAGAAAAUCUUCAAACACUGCUGAAGCGGAGACGUGAAGACAGCUGUCAGUUACAAACGAGACAUAAUGUAGCAUUUCUUAAAUAACAACCAAAGGAAGUCCAGUUUGUAUUGAAAAUUUUAUUACUGUAUGUCACUGUAGUGAAUGAUUUGUUCGUAUUGUGGUUCAAGUCACGGUAAGAUUGGUCUCUGGCAUUCUGUUAAAAAAAGUGCAGGCCAAAUAUUUUAAUAUGGCCAUGGUUGCGUAUUUGUUUGCUUUAUCUGAACCACUAAAAAGUAGGAGAAAAACAAAAUGAAACAUUCUAGUUGAGCCGAGGCCCAAUUAGAUAAUAAUAAAAAAACAGCUUUGCUUGUGAUGUACCAGAGGUCAUUUAUUUGACCUCUGGGCCUGUUAUCUUUUGAAGUGUAUAUAGUCACUUUGUUUAGUCAAAUGAAGUAAAAUUUUGCUUUAAAUGUUUGGCAAACCUUUUGCCAGAUGGAAAACGCUCUGCUGAUGACUCUUACGGUGCUCCUGCUCCUUGGAGUUCAAGGAAUCUCAGCUCAGUCCUCGAUCAACAACAUCUCAACCCCCUCAACCCCACGACCCACUAGUGCUACAACCUCCACUACCCUAUGGGCCACAUGUCCGAAAAUCAUAGAAUAUAUUACUAAGUCUGAUCUGUUCCGGCUGAAGGUUAUAUGGAAGGUCAGUCCAUGUGAAGGUCAGCUGUAUGUGUAUUCUCAUGAGCGUCAAGGGCCUUUGUGCUCUAGCAGCGACAUCUCAGUCAGCUGGUGGACUGAAGUGUGUAAGGACAGAAGAUGUGGAGACUUCAAGGGCUUUAAGCACACUUCAAGCCAAGCUAAAUGUCUCAAGCUCACAACAAAUAUGACAUUCAUCAAUACUACUAAGUGCAACGGCCUGCACAUCAUGUGCCAAGGUGUGUGAACAGUUUAUAUAUGACUCGGUAUGCUGAAAUGUUUCUCUUGAUGUUUUUGUUUCUUAUCAGGUUCCGUGACUCUGUUUAGUAUGCUGUACAUUUUGAAUAACACAUUAUAUUCUUUUCCCCCCACAUUUUUUUUUCAGAUCCUCUAGGAACAGAGUUGGCUGCUUAUAAAGCAGUAACUGGCAUAUUAAUUUUCUUGAUCUUGGGUGUCAUUCUGGUUCAGUUCAGUCGGCCCACGUACAAAGCCAUCCGCAAAAGAUGUGAGUCAG
This 1311-nucleotide long non-coding RNA is filed under the name Sinocyclocheilus anshuiensis. RNAcentral describes it as "lncRNA (ENSSANG00000024093.1)". The record is from RNAcentral. Lineage: Eukaryota; Metazoa; Chordata; Actinopteri; Cypriniformes; Cyprinidae.